CGCGUAGGUGGUUCUGUAUGUCUACCGUGAAAGCGUACGGCUCAACCGUAUUUAGUCGGUAGAAACUGCAGGACUUGAGGCUGGGAGGGGGCUGGUGGAAUUCCCUGUGUAGCGGUGAAAUGCGUAGAGAUGGGGGAGAACACUCGUGGCGAAGGCGGCCAGCUAGACCAGUUCUGACACUGAGGCGCGACAGCGUGGGGAGCAAACA
Molecule: ribosomal RNA, 208 nt
Filed under: uncultured bacterium
Lineage: Bacteria
Description: partial 16S ribosomal RNA
Rfam family: Bacterial small subunit ribosomal RNA
Source: RNAcentral